Molecule: ribosomal RNA, 623 nt
Filed under: Bacillus cereus
Lineage: Bacteria; Bacillati; Bacillota; Bacilli; Caryophanales; Bacillaceae
Description: bacterial SSU rRNA
Rfam family: Bacterial small subunit ribosomal RNA
Source: RNAcentral
GCUAUACAUGCAGUCGAGCGAAUGGAUUAAGAGCUUGCUCUUAUGAAGUUAGCGGCGGACGGGUGAGUAACACGUGGGUAACCUGCCCAUAAGACUGGGAUAACUCCGGGAAACCGGGGCUAAUACCGGAUAACAUUUUGAACUGCAUGGUUCGAAAUUGAAAGGCGGCUUCGGCUGUCACUUAUGGAUGGACCCGCGUCGCAUUAGCUAGUUGGUGAGGUAACGGCUCACCAAGGCAACGAUGCGUAGCCGACCUGAGAGGGUGAUCGGCCACACUGGGACUGAGACACGGCCCAGACUCCUACGGGAGGCAGCAGUAGGGAAUCUUCCGCAAUGGACGAAAGUCUGACGGAGCAACGCCGCGUGAGUGAUGAAGGCUUUCGGGUCGUAAAACUCUGUUGUUAGGGAAGAACAAGUGCUAGUUGAAUAAGCUGGCACCUUGACGGUACCUAACCAGAAAGCCACGGCUAACUACGUGCCAGCAGCCGCGGUAAUACGUAGGUGGCAAGCGUUAUCCGGAAUUAUUGGGCGUAAAGCGCGCGCAGGUGGUUUCUUAAGUCUGAUGUGAAAGCCCACGGCUCAACCGUGGAGGGUCAUUGGAAACUGGGGAGACUUGAGUGCAG